RNAcentral lists this ribosomal RNA (508 nucleotides) under uncultured bacterium. RNAcentral describes it as "partial 16S ribosomal RNA". It matches the Rfam family "Bacterial small subunit ribosomal RNA", at positions 28 to 523 of the family's 1533-position model. The record is from RNAcentral.
GAUGAACGCUAGCUACAGGCUUAACACAUGCAAGUCGAGGGGAAACGAUAGAGAAAGCUUGCUUUUUCUAGGCGUCGACCGGCGCACGGGUGAGUAACGCGUAUCCAACCUGCCCAUCACUUGGGGAUAACCUUGCGAAAGUAAGACUAAUACCCAAUGACGUCUCUAGAAGACAUCUGAAAGAGAUUAAAGAUUUAUCGGUGAUGGAUGGGGAUGCGUCUGAUUAGCUUGUUGGCGGGGUAACGGCCCACCAAGGCGACGAUCAGUAGGGGUUGUGAGAGGAAGGUCCCCCACAUUGGAACUGGGACACGGUCCAAACUCCUACGGGAGGCAGCAGUGAGGAAUAUUGGUCAAUGGACGAGAGUCUGAACCAGCCAAGUAGCGUGCAGGAUGACGGCCCUAUGGGUUGUAAACUGCUUUUAUAAGGGAAUAAAGUGAGUCUCGUGAGACUUUUUGCAUGUACCUUAUGAAUAAGGACCGGCUAAUUCCGUGCCAGCCGCCGCGGUAA